RNAcentral lists this transfer RNA (86 nucleotides) under Dickeya fangzhongdai. Its description in RNAcentral is "tRNA-Leu". It matches the Rfam family "tRNA". Rfam says of the family: Transfer RNA (tRNA) molecules are approximately 80 nucleotides in length. Their secondary structure includes four short double-helical elements and three loops (D, anti-codon, and T loops). The record is from RNAcentral. Lineage: Bacteria; Pseudomonadati; Pseudomonadota; Gammaproteobacteria; Enterobacterales; Pectobacteriaceae.
GCGAAGGUGGCGGAAUUGGUAGACGCGCUAGCUUCAGGUGUUAGUGUCUUUCGGACGUGAGGGUUCAAGUCCCUCUCUUCGCACCA